CAGAGGCUUAUGAAGAGGUGAAGGAUCAAAUCAAAAAGAAAGGCAACACCGCCACAGUUAUAAAACAACGAGAGAAAGCGUGGCAAAGUAUUGCAGAGUGCCUGAAUGCAUGGUCUGCAAUGCUGACUAUCUGAUCAGCAAUGUUGUGGCAAAGUGGCCUGGCUCAGUCCAUGACUCCCGAGUCUUUCGGACCUCUGGAAUCUAUCAGCGCCUAUCACAAGGUGAAUUCUCUGGUGUGUUGCUGGGGGACAGGGGGUAUGCCUGCCAGCCUUUUCUCCUCACACCAUACACAGACCCUCAGGAAACAC
Epinephelus fuscoguttatus (brown-marbled grouper) is the source of this 308-nucleotide long non-coding RNA. RefSeq lists it as uncharacterized. The transcript has 3 exons. The record is from RefSeq and is a predicted model, not a curated record. Lineage: Eukaryota; Metazoa; Chordata; Actinopteri; Perciformes; Serranidae.